GAUGAACGCUAGCGGCAGGCUUAACACAUGCAAGUCGAGGGGUAACAGGGUAGCUUGCUAUUGCUGACGACCGGCGCACGGGUGCGUAACGCGUAUACAAUCUACCUUAUACUGGGGUAUAGCCUUUAGAAAUGAAGAUUAACCCCCCAUAGUCUCUUUAUGUGGCAUCACUUAAAGAGUAAAGGUUACGGUAUAAGAUGAGUAUGCGUUCUAUUAGUUUGUUGGUAAGGUAACGGCUUACCAAGACUACGAUAGAUAGGGGCCCUGAGAGGGGGAUCCCCCACACUGGUACUGAGACACGGACCAGACUCCUACGGGAGGCAGCAGUGAGGAAUAUUGGACAAUGGAGGCAACUCUGAUCCAGCCAUGCCGCGUGUAGGAUGACUGCCCUAUGGGUUGUAAACUACUUUUAUACAGGAAGAAACACCUCUACGUGUAGAGGCUUGACGGUACUGUAAGAAUAAGGAUCGGCUAACUCCGUGCCAGCAGCCGCGGUAAUACGGAGGAUCCAAGCGUUAUCCGGAAUCAUUGGGUUUAAAGGGUCCGUAGGUGGAUAAUUAAGUCAGAGGUGAAAUCUUGCAGCUCAACUGUAAAAUUGCCUUUGAUACUGGUUAUCUUGAGUUAUUAUGAAGUAGUUAGAAUAUGUAGUGUAGCGGUGAAAUGCAUAGAUAUUACAUAGAAUACCAAUUGCGAAGGCAGAUUACUAAUAAUCAACUGACACUGAUGA
RNAcentral lists this ribosomal RNA (727 nucleotides) under bacterium IMCC8539. Its description in RNAcentral is "bacterial SSU rRNA". It matches the Rfam family "Bacterial small subunit ribosomal RNA", at positions 28 to 752 of the family's 1533-position model. The record is from RNAcentral.